Molecule: long non-coding RNA, 576 nt
Organism: Dendronephthya gigantea
Lineage: Eukaryota; Metazoa; Cnidaria; Anthozoa; Malacalcyonacea; Nephtheidae
Exons: 4
Source: RefSeq, a predicted model, not a curated record
CAAAUGGCGCAAAUUGUGAAAAAAAUAAGCAUUUGCUCAUGAUCGUUUGCUUUUGUUACUUUGUAGAAUUUAAUUAAGGCGAAUACUUUUGCAACAAAAUGUAGUAUUUUAGAUUCACCGUUCAACCAUGCCAGUGAUCAAGGUACGGGGAGUCGAAAUUGAUUUCCCAUACAAGCCUUACGACUGCCAAGUAAACUACAUGAGCAAAGUUAUUGAAUGUUUGCAAGAGGGUAAAAAUGGUAUCUUAGAAUCACCAACAGGAACUGGAAAGACAUUAUGUUUACUUUGUGCAACACUGGCCUGGAGAGACACAUUUGUGGCUCGCUUGCAAUUGAGUAUGAAGGUUCAAGAAAAUAAAGCAAGUGGCCAGUUUUGUGAUGAUUUAGAAAGAAACCUUGGGCAAGCUGCUGAUGGCUGGAUGUCAGAAGAAAGUGAAGAACUCAUUCACAACUUACACAAGUCGUAAAUGAACUGAAGAGUACAGUUUACAAACCGAAAGUAUGCGUGCUAGGAUCACGUGACCAGCUGUGCAUUCAUCCCCAGGUUCCUGAACAAGAAACACACACGGCCAAGGCA